Molecule: long non-coding RNA, 228 nt
Filed under: Ictidomys tridecemlineatus (thirteen-lined ground squirrel)
Lineage: Eukaryota; Metazoa; Chordata; Mammalia; Rodentia; Sciuridae
Description: lncRNA (ENSSTOG00000034027.1)
Source: RNAcentral
GCCUGGCAGUACCCAGGUCUUAAUCAGGGUCAUGAAAACAGCAUUUGACUGCUGUAAAGAGGGUUGUGAGGUGGCUGCUGUCGCUAUUCCUAUUUCCUGUUCUUUUCAGAAAAGAGAAAUCAUCAGACUAUGAAAACAUAUCGUCGCUCAAAAGAAAGGGCCCCAUCUUUCUAAGAGUUCCAAGGAGCUGUCUCCAUCUUAACCGGAACCAUUGUUCUUAAAAAAAUC